Molecule: ribosomal RNA, 476 nt
Filed under: uncultured organism
Description: partial 16S ribosomal RNA
Rfam family: Bacterial small subunit ribosomal RNA
Source: RNAcentral
ACACUCCUACGGGAGGCAGCAGUGGGGAAUUUUGGACAAUGGGCGAAAGCCUGAUCCAGCAAUGCCGCGUGCAGGAUGAAGGCCUUCGGGUUGUAAACUGCUUUUGUACGGAACGAAAAAGCUCCUUCUAAUACAGGGGGCCCAUGACGGUACCGUAAGAAUAAGCACCGGCUAACUACGUGCCAGCAGCCGCGGUAAUACGUAGGGUGCGCGCGUUAAUCGGAAUUACUGGGCGUAAAGCGUGCGCAGGCGGUUAUGUAAGACAGAUGUGAAAUCCCCGGGCUCAACCUGGGAACUGCAUUUGUGACUGCAUGGCUAGAGUACGGUAGAGGGGGAUGGAAUUCCGCGUGUAGCAGUGAAAUGCGUAGAUAUGCGGAGGAACACCGAUGGCGAAGGCAAUCCCCUGGACCUGUACUGACGCUCAUGCACGAAAGCGUGGGGAGCAAACAGGAUUAGAAACCCCAGUAGUCCCAUGA